Molecule: long non-coding RNA, 148 nt
Organism: Haliotis rubra (blacklip abalone)
Lineage: Eukaryota; Metazoa; Mollusca; Gastropoda; Lepetellida; Haliotidae
Exons: 2
Source: RefSeq, a predicted model, not a curated record
CCUGGUGUCAUUUUCUAGUGUCAUAUGUCCUGGUGUCAUUUACUAGUGUCAUAUGUCCUGGUAUCAUCUUCUAGUUUCAUAUGUCCUGGUGUAAUUUUCUAGUGUCAUAUGUCCAGGUAUCAUCUUCUAGAGUCAUAUGUCCUUUUAU